This 1273-nucleotide long non-coding RNA is filed under the name Crocodylus porosus (Australian saltwater crocodile). Its description in RNAcentral is "lncRNA (ENSCPRG00005005709.1)". The record is from RNAcentral. Lineage: Eukaryota; Metazoa; Chordata; Crocodylia; Crocodylidae.
GAGAUUCAUCUGCUCGCGCUGACAACGUUGGUUUCGAGGGGAAUGUCGAUGUUCUUGUCAAGGAAAACAAGACGUGAAGGAUUUUCCUGCCAGACACAUUGCAGAUAUUAAAUCCAUGAAAGCCCCUGCUCUCACUGAUAUCAACAGGAAUGAUCGGACCCCAAAGCCACACCUGCAAGCCACAAGAGCAGCACCUUCAAGCCUCCUGCCUGCACCCUCCAUCUGCUGGGUCUUGGCCACUUCCACCUGCACCAAAGCCUGGAGUCCCUCUGCCAGGUUUGCCUCUAUUGCCCAUGCCACCCAAAAUCCUGACAGCGAAGUUCGAUUGCAUGCUCUGGCCACACAGAGAAUACGUGAUUUACCCUUUAGCCCAUGCAAAUUUGGGUCCCGAGGCAGAAAGCACCUAAGCAAAUAGGUUUCAGUCCAGCAAAUCAUUUAAGAAUACCACUCACUUUCAAGUCUGCACUGAGUCGACACUGGCGUACUUUAACCAGGGGCAAAAGUCUGUCCCGUUAACGUAACGUCUAUGAGAAAGGUGCAUUGUCCCAAAGCCGCAGCUUCCUGCUGGAAUGAAAAGCCUCUAGCUAAAGUACUCAUAAACAGCGCCACAUUUGGUGAGCUUUUAUUACAUUAAAAAAAAAAUAUUUAAAAACAUGUUAAAUUGCCCUUGCAUCUUUGGACCAUAUCCUGCAGCCACUCCAGGGGACUAGAUUUAACAGCCAGUGGGAAAAACUCCAGUUGACUUCCAUAAACACUAGACCACACCCUUUCUGCAUGCAGACUAGUCCUUCCAGGACCCAGCUUUCAUAAUUCCACCUAAACCAAAAUAGUUCCUAUAAACAAUGAGGUGUUUGUGUGUAUAAUGGGAAGGGAGACUAAUUAAAAAGAGGAGGAAGCAGAUCCUUUUGUGUGAAUUCAAGGGGAAUCCAUUCCCUUCUCUAUGAAUUGCUUCCCUCGCGGGGCCAGUAAGUCAUUGGAAAGGUGACUCAGAGAUGACAUUAGGGAGCUGUCCUUCACAACUGUCUCCAGCAUAAUUUUGGCAUCAACGGUUUCUUUAAUUGAAUCUGAUUUAGAUGCAAAGUCCACUGACACUUCAUUUUUUCUUAUGGUUUAAUUUAGCAUUUAGUUUCAGUUGUAAUCUGAUUUUAUUACAGUUGUUGCUGGUAGAAAAUCUAUCCACCUAUUACCAGCACUACAUAAAUUCAGUGGCUGUCUUAAAAAACAUUUCUCACACAUAUGGGCUUCAACAUUUCAUAUGUAAUGUGUCUACUUG